RNAcentral lists this ribosomal RNA (253 nucleotides) under uncultured bacterium. RNAcentral describes it as "partial 16S ribosomal RNA". It matches the Rfam family "Bacterial small subunit ribosomal RNA", at positions 524 to 776 of the family's 1533-position model. The record is from RNAcentral.
UACGGAGGGUGCAAGCGUUAUCCGGAUUCACUGGGUUUAAAGGGUGCGUAGGUGGGCUGGUAAGUCAGUGGUGAAAUCUCCAGGCUUAACUUGGAAACUGCCAGUGAUACUAUCAGUCUUGAAUACCGUGGAGGUCAGCGGAAUAUGUCAUGUAGCGGUGAAAUGCUUAGAUAUGACAUAGAACACCAAUUGCGAAGGCAGCUGGCUACACGAAUAUUGACACUGAUGCACGAAAGCGUGGGGAUCAAACAGG